UACGUAGGUGGCAAGCGUUGUCCGGAUUCAUUGGGCGUAAAGGGUGUGUAGGUGGCGCCGUAAGUCGGGUGUGAAAUUUCGGAGCUUAACUCCGAAACUGCAUUCGAUACUGCGGUGCUUGAGGACUGGAGAGGAGACUGGAAUUCAUGGUGUAGCAGUGAAAUGCGUAGAGAUCAUGAGGAAGACCAGUGGCGAAGGCGGGUCUCUGGACAGUUCCUGACACUGAGACACGAAGGCCAGGGGAGCAAACGGG
Molecule: ribosomal RNA, 253 nt
Filed under: uncultured bacterium
Lineage: Bacteria
Description: partial 16S ribosomal RNA
Rfam family: Bacterial small subunit ribosomal RNA
Source: RNAcentral